UGGGGAAUAUUGCACAAUGGGCGCAAGCCUGAUGCAGCGAUGCCGCGUGAGGGAAGAAGGUUUUCGGAUUGUAAACCUCUGUCAUCAGGGACGAAAAAAGACGGUACCUGAGAAGGAAGCUCCGGCUAACUACGUGCCAGCAGCCGCGGUAAUACGUAGGGAGCAAGCGUUAUCCGGAAUUACUGGGUGUAAAGGGAGUGUAGGCGGGACUGUAAGUCAGAUGUGAAAUAUGCCGGCUCAACUGGCAGACUGCAUUUGAAACUGUAUCUCUUGAGUGUCGGAGAGGUAGAUGGAAUUCCUAGUGUAGCGGUGAAAUGCGUAGAUAUUAGGAGGAACACCAGUGGCGAAGGCGAUCUACUGGACGAUAACUGACGCUGAGGCGCGAAAGCGUG
This 392-nucleotide ribosomal RNA is filed under the name uncultured Ruminococcus sp. RNAcentral's name for it is "bacterial SSU rRNA". It matches the Rfam family "Bacterial small subunit ribosomal RNA", at positions 355 to 763 of the family's 1533-position model. Lineage: Bacteria; Bacillati; Bacillota; Clostridia; Eubacteriales; Oscillospiraceae. The record is from RNAcentral.